CAGGGAUUGCCUCAGUAACGGCGAGUGAAGCGGCAACAGCUCAAAUUUGAAAGCUGGUACUUUUAGUGCCCGCGUUGUAAUUUGUAGAGGAUGUUUCGGGUGCGGUGCCGGUCUAAGUUCUUUGGAACAAGACGUCAUAGAGGGUGAGAAUCCCGUAUGUGACUGGUUGCCUGUGCCCAUGUGAAACUCCUUCGACGAGUCGAGUAGUUUGGGAAUGCUGCUCAAAAUGGGAGGUGUAUUUCUUCUAAAGCUAAAUAUUGGCCAGAGACCGAUAGCGCACAAGUAGAGUGAUCGAAAGAUGAAAAGCACUUUGGAAAGAGAGUUAAACAGUACGUGAAAUUGUUGAAAGGGAAGCGCUUGCAAUCAGACUUGCGCGGCGUCGAUCAGCCUGGGUUCUCCCUGGUGUACUCGGCGUCGCUCAGGCCAGCAUCAGUUUCGGCGGUGGGAUAAAGGCUUAGGGAACGUGGGUUGCUUCGGUGACCGUUAUAGCCCUAGGUGCAAUGCCGCCUGUCGGGACUGAGGACCGCGCUUCGGCUAGGAUGCUGGCGUAAUGGUUGUAAGCGACCCGUCUUGAAACACGGACCAAGGAGUCUAACAUCUAUGCGAGUGUUUGGGUGUCAAACCCAUACGCGUAAUGAAAGUGAACGGAGGUGAGAACCCUUAAGGGUGCAUCAUCGACCGAUCCUGAUGUCUUCGGAUGGAUUUGAGUAAGAGCAUAGCUGUUGGGACCCGAAAGAUGGUGAACUAUGCCUGAAUAGGGUGAAGCCAGGGGAAACCCUGGUGGAGGCUCGCAGAGGUUCUGACGUGCAAAUCGAUCUUCAAAUUUGGGUAUAGGGGCGAAAGACUAAUCGAACCAUUGGACCUACCUUCUAGGUGGUUGAGAGGCCCGCGGGCCUAGUCGCUUAUGCGGCAAUACUGUAAAAUUGCGGGGACCGUUCUACAGAUGCAGGCUACCACCACAAUCUCGAAAGAGCUUGUCACGGUCACAAGGCCUUUGCAGCUGAACCGAUCCGCAACCCUCGCCUACCGUCUCACGACCACGGCGCGGGCUCAUCGACUAGAUGGCAGUAGGCAUUGUACAGUGUCUAAGGUAUAGUCAGACCGCCGCUUGCCAAGCGGGGGAUGCUAUUCGCUAGUAGCUGGUUCACGCCGAAGUUUCCCUCAGGAUAGCAGUGUUGUAUUCAGUUUUAUGAGGUAAAGCGAAUGAUUAGAGGCCUUGGGGUUGAAACAACCUUAACCUAUUCUCAAACUUUAAAUAUGUAAGAAGU
RNAcentral lists this ribosomal RNA (1268 nucleotides) under Coccomyces tumidus. Its description in RNAcentral is "eukaryotic LSU rRNA". It matches the Rfam family "Eukaryotic large subunit ribosomal RNA", at positions 69 to 1081 of the family's 3401-position model. Lineage: Eukaryota; Fungi; Ascomycota; Leotiomycetes; Rhytismatales; Rhytismataceae. The record is from RNAcentral.